Molecule: unclassified non-coding RNA, 160 nt
Filed under: uncultured Capnodiales
Lineage: Eukaryota; Fungi; Ascomycota; Dothideomycetes; Capnodiales
Description: sequence contains ITS2
Source: RNAcentral
AAUCCAAUCAAGCCUGGCUUGGUAUUGGGCGGCGGGACUCCCCCGCGCCCCAAUUUCACCGGCUGGCCGUCGCCCGUCUUAGCGUUGUGACACACUUUUCGCUAGCGACGGGAGCGGACCACGCCGUUAGAACCCAUGAAUUUCAAUCGAAAUUCGAUUA